Molecule: long non-coding RNA, 927 nt
Filed under: Triticum aestivum (bread wheat)
Lineage: Eukaryota; Viridiplantae; Streptophyta; Magnoliopsida; Poales; Poaceae
Description: long non-coding RNA (TAES_LNC022594)
Source: RNAcentral
UAACAACUAACUUAAUAUCCAGCAAGUACAACAACAAUUCAGCAAGAACAAACACAUAAGGGAUCUCACACAUACAGUAACAGAAUACGAACUAACACAUGACAAGUACGAACUGAACAUAUUAUCAGUAGCAUAGAGUAGAUGAUGGAACUAUCUCAAAUAUCACAGGCAGCAGAACAAUAUUACAAGUUGAACCACCUAGUUUUCUCAUGGACACAUCAAUAGUUAACUGAGAUUCAGAUUACAAGCUGCAGAAUAUUUAGAGCAAAAAUUCAGAAAACUACAGUAAGAGAAAAGAGAUUCAGAGUUGUCUCCUGGGUUGUAGAUGUUGUGGGUGAAGGAGAGCAGCAGGGACGAAGACGAUCAGCGAAGCCAAGUUGGAGAGGAUCAGCAAGGGGUCGUUGGAGAGGAUCCACAGCUCCGUUUCUUGAGGUUGAAGACGAGGAAGUUCAGCAGGUUGGCGUCAUCGUUGGAGAGAAGUGGUGGAUCGGGCAUCUCCACCAAUCUCCCGGCGACCUCUUCUCCCUUUCUCUCCUUCGAUCUGGUUCUUCUGCUCGUUCCCCUCAAUCCCCUGCUUCGAUCUGGUGGUGGUUGAGUGGUGGAAGGUAGCGAGGAGUUGGAGAGCAGCAGGUCGGCGAUCAGGGGCGGCAGCAAGGUGGAACGGCCUCCGAUCUCCUCUUCUUCUUCCUUCCCUCGACCCCCCUUUUCUUGCCCGAUUCGAUCUGGUGGUAGGUGAGUCGUGGAAGGCAGCGAGGAAUUGGGGAGAAAAAGGCAGUCGGUCUGAUCCUUUUCUUUCCUUCGACGCCCUCAACUCCUCUUCUUUCUUGUGGCCUUGCGCGUGGGAUCAGAUAUGCCUCUCGCUGGUCGCGCCAGACCAGCCCCUUCUCACGCGCCCAAGCAGACAUCUGCUCUUCUUUGUCUGACUAG